Molecule: ribosomal RNA, 808 nt
Filed under: Kushneria sp. CPA-30
Lineage: Bacteria; Pseudomonadati; Pseudomonadota; Gammaproteobacteria; Oceanospirillales; Halomonadaceae
Description: bacterial SSU rRNA
Rfam family: Bacterial small subunit ribosomal RNA
Source: RNAcentral
UGCAAGUCGAGCGGUAACAGGGGUAGCUUGCUACCCGCUGACGAGCGGCGGACGGGUGAGUAAUGCAUGGGUAUCUGCCCGGUAGUGGGGGAUAACUCGGGGAAACCCGAGCUAAUACCGCAUACGUCCUACGGGAGAAAGCAGGGGAUCUUCGGACCUUGCGCUAUCGGAUGAGCCCAUGUCGGAUUAGCUUGUUGGUGAGGUAACGGCUCACCAAGGCGACGAUCCGUAGCUGGUCUGAGAGGAUGAUCAGCCACACCGGGACUGAGACACGGCCCGGACUCCUACGGGAGGCAGCAGUGGGGAAUAUUGGACAAUGGGGGAAACCCUGAUCCAGCCAUGCCGCGUGUGUGAAGAAGGCCUUCGGGUUGUAAAGCACUUUCAGUGGGGAAGAAGGCAUGAUGAUUAAUACUCGUCACGAAGGACAUCACCCACAGAAGAAGCACCGGCUAACUCCGUGCCAGCAGCCGCGGUAAUACGGAGGGUGCAAGCGUUAAUCGGAAUUACUGGGCGUAAAGGGCGCGUAGGCGGCUUGCCAAGCCGGAUGUGAAAGCCCCGGGCUCAACCCGGGAACGGCAUUCGGAACUGGUAGGCUAGAGUGCAGGAGAGGAAGGUGGAAUUCCCGGUGUAGCGGUGAAAUGCGUAGAGAUCGGGAGGAAUACCAGUGGCGAAGGCGGCCUUCUGGACUGACACUGACGCUGAGGCGCGAAAGCGUGGGUAGCAAACAGGAUUAGAUACCCUGGUAGUCCACGCCGUAAACGAUGUCGACCAGCCGUUGGACCCCUUGAGGGUUUGGUGGCGCAGUUAA